This 436-nucleotide ribosomal RNA is filed under the name uncultured bacterium. RNAcentral's name for it is "bacterial SSU rRNA". It matches the Rfam family "Bacterial small subunit ribosomal RNA", at positions 954 to 1392 of the family's 1533-position model. The record is from RNAcentral.
GCACAACGCGAAGAACCUUACCAAGGCUUAAAUGUAUUAUGACCGUCCUGGAAACAGGACUUUCUUCGGACAGAAUGCAAGGUGCUGCAUGGCUGUCGUCAGCUCGUGCCGUGAGGUGUCAGGUUAAGUCCUAUAACGAGCGCAACCCCUAUCACUAGUUGCCAGCGUUUCAAGACGGGGACUCUAGUGAGACUGCCAACGCAAGUUGCGAGGAAGGUGGGGACGACGUCAAGUCAUCACGGCCCUUACGCCUUGGGCCACACACGUGCUACAAUGGCCGGUACAGAGGGCAGCUACUAUGUGAAUAGAUGCGAAUCUCGAAAGCCGGUCUCAGUUCGGAUUGGAGUCUGCAACUCGACUCUAUGAAGCUGGAAUCGCUAGUAAUCGCAUAUCAGCCAUGAUGCGGUGAAUACGUUCCCGGGUCUUGUACACACCG